UUAACAGGAUUAGAUACCCUGGUAGUCCACGCCGUAAACGUUGGGAACUAGAUGUGGGGGCCAUUCCACGGCUUCCGUGUCGCAGCUAACGCAUUAAGUUCCCCGCCUGGGGAGUACGGCCGCAAGGCUAAAACUCAAAGGAAUUGACGGGGGCCCGCACAAGCGGCGGAGCAUGCGGAUUAAUUCGAUGCAACGCGAAGAACCUUACCAAGGCUUGACAUAUACGAGAACGCUGCAGAAAUGUAGAACUCUUUGGACACUCGUAUACAGGUGGUGCAUGGUUGUCGUCAGCUCGUGUCGUGAGAUGUUGGGUUAAGUCCCGCAACGAGCGCAACCCUCGUUCUAUGUUGCCAGCACGUUAUGGUGGGAACUCAUAGGAGACUGCCGGGGUCAACUCGGAGGAAGGUGGGGAUGACGUCAAAUCAUCAUGCCCCUUAUGUCUUGGGCUUCACGCAUGCUACAAUGGCCGGUACAAAGGGCUGCAAUACCGCAAGGUGGAGCGAAUCCCAAAAAGCCGGUCUCAGUUCGGAUUGAGGUCUGCAACUCGACCUCAUGAAGUCGGAGUCGCUAGUAAUCGUGGAUCAGCAACGCCACGGUGAAUACGUUCCCGGGCCUUGUACACACCGCCCGUCAAGUCAUGAAAGUCGGUAACACCCGAAGCCAGUGGCCCAACCGCAAGGAGGGAGCUGUCGAAGGUGGGAUCGGUGAUUAGGACUAAGUCGUAACAAGGUAACCAA
RNAcentral lists this ribosomal RNA (737 nucleotides) under uncultured Leifsonia sp. RNAcentral describes it as "bacterial SSU rRNA". It matches the Rfam family "Bacterial small subunit ribosomal RNA", at positions 769 to 1503 of the family's 1533-position model. The record is from RNAcentral. Lineage: Bacteria; Bacillati; Actinomycetota; Actinomycetes; Micrococcales; Microbacteriaceae.